AGGGUGCUUGCACCUGAUUCCUAGCGGCGGACGGGUGAGUAAUGCUUAGGAAUCUGCCUAUUAGUGGGGGACAACGUUCCGAAAGGGACGCUAAUACCGCAUACGUCCUACGGGAGAAAGCAGGGGAUCUUCGGACCUUGCGCUAAUAGAUGAGCCUAAGUCGGAUUAGCUAGUUGGUGGGGUAAAGGCCUACCAAGGCGACGAUCUGUAGCGGGUCUGAGAGGAUGAUCCGCCACACUGGGACUGAGACACGGCCCAGACUCCUACGGGAGGCAGCAGUGGGGAAUAUUGGACAAUGGGGGGAACCCUGAUCCAGCCAUGCCGCGUGUGUGAAGAAGGCCUUUUGGUUGUAAAGCACUUUAAGCGAGGAGGAGGCUUACCUGGUUAAUACCCGGGAUAAGUGGACGU
This 408-nucleotide ribosomal RNA is filed under the name Acinetobacter sp. 171bp. Its description in RNAcentral is "bacterial SSU rRNA". It matches the Rfam family "Bacterial small subunit ribosomal RNA", at positions 73 to 475 of the family's 1533-position model. The record is from RNAcentral. Lineage: Bacteria; Pseudomonadati; Pseudomonadota; Gammaproteobacteria; Moraxellales; Moraxellaceae.